This is a non-coding RNA of Paramuricea clavata, 463 nucleotides long. The record is from the annotation of a GenBank genome assembly. Lineage: Eukaryota; Metazoa; Cnidaria; Anthozoa; Malacalcyonacea; Plexauridae.
AAGUUGUUGGGAAAAAAUCCUUAGAUUUCCUUAGAUUUUUUCUCUUCCUUAGAUUUUCCUUUUCGACACUAGAAUUUCCUUAGAAAAGGAAAUUUCCUUGAAAAUGGAAGCAUUGUCGUGGAGACCGGAGACGUGGCAAUCUCGUUCCCAGAGUAUGCCUGUUCGCGGGUUAGGUUGAGGCACAACCUAACCCGCGAACAGGCAUACUCUGGGAACGAGAUUGGAGACGUGGAGUUAUUAUAUCACAUAUUCCAGUGCUUCCACAUUCAAUUCAAAUCUAAAUUUCUAGUUGUUUCCAUGAAAAAUCCUGAUUAUCCUGCAGUUCAAUAGUGCUAGUUCCAUUUUGUAAUUCAUAAUACCAUAAACAGACACACAAUUUUUUUUUCAAUUCAAACCGUGAAGAAAUCCCCUACGCUCCCCUACAGAUUACCCUUUCUCCCCGUAGGUAUUCCCCACUCCCUAC